This is a long non-coding RNA of Xiphophorus hellerii (green swordtail), 2385 nucleotides long. RefSeq lists it as uncharacterized. The record is from RefSeq and is a predicted model, not a curated record. NCBI's taxonomy places the organism in Eukaryota, Metazoa, Chordata, Actinopteri, Cyprinodontiformes, Poeciliidae. The transcript has 2 exons.
UACACACUGACAACUGCGGCAACUGCUCUGGCAGCUGACACCAAUAUUGAGUCAGUCAGCUCCAAGAAGCAUCAUGUGAAAUAUUGCACAAUCCUGAAGUCACACAAUGAGAGCUGACUAAUCAGAACUAAACAUUCAGGAUAAUUCACACAGCUACUAGGUUACAAACAACAACAACUACAAAAAACAUUUAUCUGAGAUUGUCAAUUCAAAGUCUAAGGGGGCAUGCUUUUGAAUUGGAAUUAUAUUUUUUAUCAUUUCUUAACAUGUAUGAAUAUAUGCAUUUAAAAAAGAGAAUUUUGGGCUUUCAUAAAUGAAUAAAAAAAAUAAAAAUCAAGAUCACGCCUAAUAAACAGAAAAAAACUAAUUUGCUUUAGAAUAUAAAUGUUGACCUGAUCUUCUGUUAUUAGAGUUACAUAAUAUCUAAAUAUUAUAAUAGUUAUUUCAAUAAAAAAAAAUAUUACAAAAUAUAAUUUAGGAGUAUAAAAGCAAAAAAUGACAGCUUUACACACGUUUUUAAGGUUUAUUUCAUAAAUAAAAGACAUCCUGAGAAAACAGCAUGGAACGGCCAAAUACAGCCUAUUCUUUCAAAGUCAGCAAACAAUAAACUAGUUAGAAUCACAUCACUACAGUGGACCACUUGUAGGGAUGAUGCAUAAGUGCGUAUAAGGUGACGUGCCGCCAACGUAUCAAAGUGGGAGGGAUAUCAUCCUACAAAUAUGUGCGAUCUUUCCCCCCCCAUCACUAACCAUGGGAAGUAAAUUUAAAAAUCGACCAGAAACCACUCCGACGACCAGACACAAGGCAAGAGAAAAAUCCAAAAACUCUCUGUCCGGAGAGUGAAAGGGUGAGGGAAGGCUCAGCAAAUGCAUGAGACAAGAAACGUCAAAAAAAAAAUUAAAAAAUAAAAGAAAGAAAAGAAAAGCCACCGUUAAAGAAGAUCUGUUGACAGCUCAACAUACUGGGAAGAACAGGAAUGAAUGCAAGAGACAGAAGACAAGCUGUAAAAGUGUGUUGGGACGCAUCCUGGAACGAUGUGAGACGCCAAGGGUGACUUUGAAAGAGGAAGAUGGGUAGCCCUCAGCACUUUUCCCUGAUCUCCAAGGAGGGCAGUAUGUGUGAAUGCACAGUUGCCUCUGCAUCGGCAUGUUGUCCUGAGGCAUUACUCUUGUUAAGGUUAUUAGAGAAGAUGUUUAGCACUAAUCAGUGGAGAGCCAAAGGGACCACAGCUAAAUGGCCUCAUCAUCACAGGGCCCUGGUGGUGAUAAAUCUAGCCCCAAGCAUUGAGAGGUCCAGCUGAAUGUGUAGGUGCAAAGCAGUGCAAUGUAAAUGAGUACUUAGAAAUUGAAUUUGGUCAUUUUUUUUCUGCUUUGUGGACAAAUUGCCAUUUUAUCAAAACAAUGAAGUACUCAAUCUUGAGUUUGCUUAAUUAAAUGGAUGUGAUUAUUUAAAUAAAUUACCUCUGUUAUUAUUGAGGAUUUUUCUGUUACUAAUCUUAUAUUUUAAGCUCUAUCCUUUUUCAAUGUAACAAAGGAUAAAAAAAAAAGAAACAAUGGAAACAUGAGGAAACGCGUCCGUCCUUGUUUUUCUUUGUUCACUGUUUUUAUAGAUCGGAUUAUUUCCUACUUUCUCCACUUAGUUUUUUCCAGUAAACCCAUUCUCUUCCUUCACCGGGUUAUCUAGCCUCGAGCAAACUAGAACGUAAUGUUAAGGCACUAACUACAGUGUGUCUGCACACAGACCCAGCAGAGAGAAAGAAACAAUCAUGUGUGAAAUUAGAUUUCUCCACAAACAGAGGGGAGUCAGAGCCAUAAAGUACACCAAGCUCUUCGGCUUUGAAGGAUCAGCCAAAAAUAAAUAAAUAAAAAAUUUUACAAAUACCUUCACUUGAUGAUUUUUGCAAUUAUUUUUCUGGCAUUUCUUUUGCUUCUCUUUACAGGUGAACUCAUUUACAGAUGCUUAGAUGUGAGCCCAAUUAUGUCAUAACAAUAAAAAAGAAGUCAAAUGUUUCAAACCAUUUUAAAUAGGAUUGUUUUUAAGUGUAAUUUGAGCACAGUACUUGCACCAAACUUUUUCAACAAGGUCUAUUGCAUGAGUGUUUAGACUUGUUCAACCUUUUCACAUUUUAUCAUUUCAUAUGUACAAACAUCUAUUUUGAUAGAAAAGAAUAAAGUAGCCCAUAAUUGUGAAGUGGAAGAAAAAUGAUAGAUUGUUUUCAAAUGUUUACAAAACUCUAUUCCAACCUAUUCUAUUUUGUGACUUAAUGCAGUCGGAUUUUCUCAGCUAAAAGACAUUUUACCAACUUGAAUAAUAAAGUGAACUCGUCUACGUUGUUUGAUAAAAACAGAUAUGAUUAAAACAGAAUGUUUAUAAUUGAUUUUAAAA